This 253-nucleotide ribosomal RNA is filed under the name uncultured bacterium. RNAcentral's name for it is "partial 16S ribosomal RNA". It matches the Rfam family "Bacterial small subunit ribosomal RNA", at positions 524 to 776 of the family's 1533-position model. The record is from RNAcentral.
UACGUAGGGUGCAAGCGUUGUCCGGAAUUAUUGGGCGUAAAGGGCUCGUAGGCGGUCUGUCGCGUCGGGAGUGAAAACUUACAGCUUAACUGUGAGCGUGCUUCCGAUACGGGCAGACUUGAGGUAUUCAGGGGAGAACGGAAUUCCUGGUGUAGCGGUGAAAUGCGCAGAUAUCAGGAGGAACACCGGUGGCGAAGGCGACAUCCUGGACCGGUAUUGACGCUGAGGCGCGAAAGCCAGGGGAGCAAACGGG